UAGGGAAUCUUCCGCAAUGGGCGAAAGCCUGACGGAGCGACGCCGCGUGAGCGAGGAAGGCCUUCGGGCGUAAAGCUCUGUUGUCAGGGAAGAAGGCGCGCCGUUCGAAGAGGGCGGCGCGGUGACGGUACCUGACGAGGAAGCCCCGGCUAACUACGUGCCAGCAGCCGCGGUAAAACGUAGGGGGCGAGCGUUGUCCGGAAUUACUGGGCGUAAAGCGCGCGCAGGCGGUCCUUUAAGUCUGAUGUGAAAUUCCGCGGCUCAACCGCGGGUGUGCAUUGGAAACUGGGGGACUUGAGUGCGGAAGAGGGGGAGCGGAAUUCCCGGUGUAGCGGUGAAAUGCGUAGAGAUCGGGAGGAACACCAGUGGCGAAGGCGGCUCUCUGGUCCGCAACUGACGCUGAGGCGCGAAAGCGUGGGGAGCGAACAGGAUUAGAUACCCUGGUAGUCCACGCCGUAAACGAGAGUGCUAAGUGUUAGAGGGGAUUGACCCUUUAGUGCGCAGCUAACGCAUUAAGCACUCCGCCUGGGGAGU
This 534-nucleotide ribosomal RNA is filed under the name uncultured bacterium. RNAcentral describes it as "partial 16S ribosomal RNA". It matches the Rfam family "Bacterial small subunit ribosomal RNA", at positions 355 to 881 of the family's 1533-position model. The record is from RNAcentral.